Molecule: non-coding RNA, 149 nt
Organism: Gorilla gorilla gorilla (western lowland gorilla)
Lineage: Eukaryota; Metazoa; Chordata; Mammalia; Primates; Hominidae
Rfam family: Metazoan signal recognition particle RNA
About the family: The signal recognition particle (SRP) is a universally conserved ribonucleoprotein. It is involved in the co-translational targeting of proteins to membranes.
Source: Rfam
GCUGAGCAUGGUGGUGCAUGCCUGUAAUCCCAGCUACAUGGGAGGCUGAGGCAGGAGAAUCGCUUGAACCCAGGAGGUGGAGGUUGCAGUGAGCCAAGAUCGUGGCCACUGCACUCCAGCUUGGGUGACAGAGUGAGACUCUGUCUAAA